GACGAACGCUGGCGGCGUGCUUAACACAUGCAAGUCGAACGGAAAGGCCCUGCUUUUGUUGGGUGCUCGAGUGGCGAACGGGUGAGUAACACGCGAGUAACAUGCCCUUGACUUUGGGAUAUAUCUAGGAAACUGGGGCUAAUACCGGAUAGGAUCUCCUGCUGCAUGGUGGGGGUUGGAAAGUUACGGCGGUGGUGGAUGGUCUCGCGGGUUAUCAGCUUGUUGGUGGGGUAGUGGCUUACCAAGGCUUUGACGGGUAGGCUGCCUGGGAGGGUUGACGGCCACCUGGCGCCUGAGAUACGGAGCAGACUCCUAUGUGAGGCAGCAGUCGGGAAUCUUGCACAAUGGGCGGAAGCGUGAUGCAGAAACGCCGCGUGCGGGAUGCCGGCCUUCGGGUUGUAAACCGAUUUCGCCUGUGACGAAGAGUGAGUGACGGUACUGGGUCAAGAAGCACCGGCUAACUACGUG
This 468-nucleotide ribosomal RNA is filed under the name uncultured bacterium. RNAcentral describes it as "partial 16S ribosomal RNA". It matches the Rfam family "Bacterial small subunit ribosomal RNA", at positions 28 to 507 of the family's 1533-position model. The record is from RNAcentral.